RNAcentral lists this ribosomal RNA (279 nucleotides) under uncultured bacterium. RNAcentral's name for it is "partial 16S ribosomal RNA". It matches the Rfam family "Bacterial small subunit ribosomal RNA", at positions 76 to 353 of the family's 1533-position model. The record is from RNAcentral.
CUUGCUAAGGCCGAUGGCGACCGGCGCACGGGUGAGUAACACGUAUCCAACCUGCCCUUUACUCGGGGAUAGCCUUUCGAAAGAAAGAUUAAUACCCGAUGGCAUAAUGAUUCCGCAUGGUUUCAUUAUUAAAGGAUUCCGGUAAAGGAUGGGGAUGCGUUCCAUUAGGUUGUUGGUGAGGUAACGGCUCACCAAGCCUUCGAUGGAUAGGGGUUCUGAGAGGAAGGUCCCCCACAUUGGAACUGAGACACGGUCCAAACUCCUACGGGAGGCAGCAUG